GGGUCCGUGGCGUAGUUGGCUACACGUUCGCUUGAUAAGCGGAUGGUCAUGGGUUAGAUUCCCAGCCCCCCCA
Non-coding RNA from Aedes albopictus (Asian tiger mosquito), 73 nucleotides. The record is from Rfam. NCBI's taxonomy places the organism in Eukaryota, Metazoa, Arthropoda, Insecta, Diptera, Culicidae.